This 73-nucleotide transfer RNA is filed under the name Candidatus Omnitrophota bacterium. Its description in RNAcentral is "tRNA-Arg". It matches the Rfam family "tRNA". Rfam says of the family: Transfer RNA (tRNA) molecules are approximately 80 nucleotides in length. Their secondary structure includes four short double-helical elements and three loops (D, anti-codon, and T loops). Further hydrogen bonds mediate the characteristic L-shaped molecular structure. tRNAs have two regions of fundamental functional importance: the anti-codon, which is responsible for specific mRNA codon recognition, and the 3' end, to which the tRNAs corresponding amino acid is attached (by aminoacyl-tRNA synthetases). tRNAs cope with the degeneracy of the genetic code in two manners: having more than one tRNA (with a specific anti-codon) for a particular amino acid; and 'wobble' base-pairing, i.e. permitting non-standard base-pairing at the 3rd anti-codon position. Lineage: Bacteria; Pseudomonadati; Candidatus Omnitrophota. The record is from RNAcentral.
GCGCCCAUGGCCCAAUGGAUAGGGCAUCUGGCUUCGGACCAGAGGGUUGCAGGUUCGAGUCCUGCUGGGCGCG